Molecule: long non-coding RNA, 934 nt
Filed under: Setaria viridis
Lineage: Eukaryota; Viridiplantae; Streptophyta; Magnoliopsida; Poales; Poaceae
Description: long non-coding RNA (SVIR_LNC001288)
Source: RNAcentral
CAAGUAGAACAUACACCAAUAAUGCAAGCAGACAUAACCUGAACCGACCAAAGCAGCCGGUGCAGGUUUGACUCACAAUCUCAAAUACAGAAGAGCACACAGUCCAAAGCCUGAUACAUACACACAGAGUAUUACUAACAAUAUGGGGUAAACCAUUGGGCGACUUGCAUCGUUAUCUAAAAAAAAGAAUGGUGACUUGCAUCACAAACCUAAGAUGAAAGCAUCGUAGUCUGAAUACUGGCCGAUUUCUUUCUUCCAAGGAGGCCGCCUGAACCAGGUAUUCGUCGUCGAAGGAAUGUUAUUGCAGACGCUGCCUGUUCGUUCAGCAACCUGAAUAACCGUAUACCACUCCGUUGGGAACAUAUAUUCAUCUUGGCACCAUGAAAGCACAAAUUUGAUGAGGUAUGCUACUACUAUUCCUCGGAAAAUUUUUAGUUUUGGGAGGACCAUGGAAAUUUGGAAGUAGAUUGGAAAGAACCAACGUGAUGAUGUUAAUGCCUGGCACAAUACAGGGACGUACCGAAAGCCAGUUGAUCUGAUAAGCCAAGAAGAAGUAAUCGCGAAGGAGAGCCAGCUGCGCCUCAACGAUGGUAAAUGCCCGCUUGCAGUCCGGUAGAAUCAGCUCCUUGAGCAUCAAGUCACGGACCAUUUCGUUCCCUUCCUCGGCGCAAUGAAAUCCAAAGUAGCGCCUUGUCGCAGAAUCUGUGGGAGAGGAGAGUGUCGAGCGUGCCGUUGAGGAUGAUCAUAACCCAUGGACCAUAUCUCUGGAUAAUGGGGUCGUCUUUGCAGCGGUCAAUGAGAGAGUCCAUCCAAGGAGGGGAUGAGUGGAUAAGCUUUAAUACGCGGUCAGCGCAUGCUUUCGCAGUGCAUGCCUGUUCUAUGUUUCGGACGAAGAACAAAUGGUGUCCGGAUGGAAACAAGGUAGAGUAUUUGU